Molecule: ribosomal RNA, 487 nt
Filed under: uncultured archaeon
Lineage: Archaea
Description: bacterial SSU rRNA
Rfam family: Archaeal small subunit ribosomal RNA
Source: RNAcentral
GGAGGUCACCGCUAUUGGAAUACGAUUAAGGCAUGCGAGUCGAGAGUCUUAGGGACUCGGCAGACGGCUCAGUAACACGUAGAUAAUCUGCCCUUAGGUGGGGGAUAACCUCGAGAAAUUGAGAAUAAUACCCCAUAGAUCUAAGAUGCUGGAAUGCUUUUAGAUUGAAAGCCCCGGCGCCUAAGGAUGAGUCUGCGGCCUAUCAGGUUGUAGUGAGUGUAACGGACUCACUAGCCGACGACGGGUACGGGUCCUGAGAGGGAGAGCCCGGAGAUGGACUCUGAGACACGAGUCCAGGCCCCAAGGGGCGCAGCAGCUACGAAAACUUCACAAUGCGGGAAACCGCGAUGAGGGAAUUCCAAGUGCUGCAGUAUAACUGUAGCUGUUUAGUUGCCUAAAAAGCAAGUAGAGUAAGGGCUGGGUAAGACUGGUGCCAGCCGCCGCGGUAAUACCAGCAGCCCGAGUGGUGACCACUUUUAUUGGGCCU